UGCCAGCCGCCGCGGUAAUACGAGGGGUGCAAGCGUUAAUCGGAAUUACUGGGCGUAAAGCGCGCGUAGGCGGUUAUUUAAGCCAGAUGUGAAAUCCCCGGGCUCAACCUGGGAACUGCAUUUGGAACUGGGUAACUAGAAUGCAGCAGAGGAUAGUGGAAUUUCAGGUGUAGCGGUGAAAUGCGUAGAGAUCUGAAGGAACAUCAGUGGCGAAGGCGACUGUCUGGGCUGACAUUGACGCUGAGGUGCGAAAGCGUGGGUAGUAAACAGGAUUAGAUA
RNAcentral lists this ribosomal RNA (279 nucleotides) under uncultured bacterium. Its description in RNAcentral is "partial 16S ribosomal RNA". It matches the Rfam family "Bacterial small subunit ribosomal RNA", at positions 506 to 784 of the family's 1533-position model. The record is from RNAcentral.